RNAcentral lists this non-coding RNA (118 nucleotides) under Paraburkholderia susongensis. Its description in RNAcentral is "TPP sequence". It matches the Rfam family "TPP riboswitch aptamer (THI element)". From Rfam's summary of the family: Vitamin B(1) in its active form thiamin pyrophosphate (TPP) is an essential coenzyme that is synthesised by coupling of pyrimidine and thiazole moieties in bacteria. The record is from RNAcentral. Lineage: Bacteria; Pseudomonadati; Pseudomonadota; Betaproteobacteria; Burkholderiales; Burkholderiaceae.
CUGCUAACGCGGGGGUCCUGCGUAGCACGGUGCUGGAGGUCCGUGCCACGUGGGUGAGAAAUACCCUUUGAACCUGAUCUGGAUAAUGCCAGCGCAGGGAAGCGUACGGAUUUCGCAC